GCCAGACUCCUACGGGAGGCAGCAGUGAGGAAUAUUGGUCAAUGGGCUUACGCCUGAACCAGCCAAGUCGCGUGAGGGAAGACUGCCCUAUGGGUUGUAAACCUCUUUUGUCAGGGAGCAACGCCGGCUACGUGUAGCCGGACUGAGAGUGCCUGAAGAAAAAGCAUCGGCUAACUCCGUGCCAGCAGCCGCGGUAAUACGGAGGAUGCGAGCGUUAUCCGGAUUUAUUGGGUUUAAAGGGUGCGUAGGCGGAAUGCCAAGUCAGCGGUAAAAUCGCGGGGCUCAACCUCGCUCCGCCGUUGAAACUGGCAGUCUCGAGUUGGAGAGAAGUAUGCGGAAUGCGCGGUGUAGCGGUGAAAUGCAUAGAUAUCGCGCAGAACUCCGAUUGCGAAGGCAGCAUACCGGCGCUCAACUGACGCUCAUGCACGAAAGCGUGGGUAUCGAACAGGAUUAGAUACCCGCGUAA
This 466-nucleotide ribosomal RNA is filed under the name uncultured bacterium. RNAcentral describes it as "bacterial SSU rRNA". It matches the Rfam family "Bacterial small subunit ribosomal RNA", at positions 330 to 793 of the family's 1533-position model. The record is from RNAcentral.